This 593-nucleotide ribosomal RNA is filed under the name Kneiffiella abieticola. Its description in RNAcentral is "partial 28S ribosomal RNA". It matches the Rfam family "Eukaryotic large subunit ribosomal RNA", at positions 62 to 634 of the family's 3401-position model. Lineage: Eukaryota; Fungi; Basidiomycota; Agaricomycetes; Hymenochaetales. The record is from RNAcentral.
AAACUAACAAGGAUUCCCCUAGUAACUGCGAGUGAAGCGGGAAGAGCUCAAAUUUAAAAUCUGGCGGUCUCCGGCCGUCCGAGUUGUAAUCUGGAGAAGCGUUUUCCGCGUCGGACCGUGUACAAGUCUCUUGGAACAGAGCGUCAUAGAGGGUGAGAAUCCCGUCCAUGACACGGACUCCCGGUGCUUUGUGAUACGCUCUCGAAGAGUCGAGUUGUUUGGGAAUGCAGCUCAAAAUGGGUGGUAAAUUCCAUCUAAAGCUAAAUAUUGGCGAGAGACCGAUAGCGAACAAGUACCGUGAGGGAAAGAUGAAAAGCACUUUGGAAAGAGAGUUAAACAGUACGUGAAAUUGUUGAAAGGGAAACGCUUGAAGUCAGUCGCGUCGUCCGGGACUCAGCCUUGCUCUUGCUCGGUGUACUUCCCGUUCGACGGGUCAACAUCGAUUUUGACCGGCGGAUAAAGGCGGGGGGAAUGUGGCACCUUCGGGUGUGUUAUAGCCCUCUGUUGCAUGCGUCGGUCGGGAUCGAGGACCGCAGCGCGCCACUAGGCCGAGAGGUACGCCUCUACGUUACGCGCUUAGGAUGUGGCAUAAU